UUUAAGUGCAGCUUUCCGCGACCAAUUUUAAUCGUCCGUCUUAUUUGAAUUUUUUUUAUAAUUAGUAUUUUUGUUGUUAUGAAAUGAUAAAACAUGAAUAUUACUUUACUUAUGAUUUAUAUUUUUGAAUUUUUUUUAAAAAAAAUUAAAUAAGACGGACGGUCAAAGUUGGGCGCAGAAAACCAUGGCUGCAAUUAAA
Molecule: non-coding RNA, 199 nt
Organism: Oryza glaberrima (African rice)
Lineage: Eukaryota; Viridiplantae; Streptophyta; Magnoliopsida; Poales; Poaceae
Source: Rfam